RNAcentral lists this unclassified non-coding RNA (345 nucleotides) under soil metagenome. RNAcentral's name for it is "partial contains 5.8S ribosomal RNA, internal transcribed spacer 2, and large subunit ribosomal RNA". The stretch from base 1 to 119 matches the Rfam family "5.8S ribosomal RNA", at positions 35 to 154 of the family's 154-position model. The record is from RNAcentral.
GAUGAAGAACGUAGCGAAAUGCGAUACGUAAUGUGAAUUGCAAAUUCAGUGAAUCAUCGAGUCUUUGAACGCACAUUGCGCCCCCUGGUAUUCCGGGGGGCAUGCCUGUCCGAGCGUCAUUGCUGCCCUCAAGCACGGCUUGUGUGUUGGGCCCCGUCCUCCGAUCCCGGGGGACGGGCCCGGAAGGCAGCGGCGGCACCGCGUCCGGUCCUCGAGCGUAUGGGGCUUUGUCACCCGCUCUGUAGGCCCGGCCGGCGCUUGCCGAUCAACCCAAAUUUUUAUCCAGGUUGACCUCGGAUCAGGUAGGGAUACCCGCUGAACUUAAGCAUAUCAAUAAGCGGAGGA